CCAGACUCCUACGGGAGGCAGCAGUGGGGAAUAUUGCACAAUGGGGGAAACCCUGAUGCAGCAACGCCGCGUGAGUGAAGAAGUAUUUCGGUAUGUAAAGCUCUAUCAGUAGGGAAGAAAAUGACGGUACCUGAGUAAGAAGCCCCGGCUAACUACGUGCCAGCAGCCGCGGUAAUACGUAGGGGGCAAGCGUUAUCCGGAUUUACUGGGUGUAAAGGGAGCGUAGACGGCGAUACAAGUCUGAAGUGAAAGCCCGGGGCUCAACCCCGGGACUGCUUUGGAAACUGUGUUGCUGGAGUGCCGGAGAGGCAAGCGGAAUUCCUAGUGUAGCGGUGAAAUGCGUAGAUAUUAGGAAGAACACCAGUGGCGAAGGCGGCUUGCUGGACAGUAACUGACGUUGAGGCUCGAAAGCGUGGGGAGCAAACAGGAUUAGAUACCCCCGUAU
Molecule: ribosomal RNA, 445 nt
Filed under: uncultured bacterium
Lineage: Bacteria
Description: bacterial SSU rRNA
Rfam family: Bacterial small subunit ribosomal RNA
Source: RNAcentral